AUGGCGCAAUCUGACGUAAAAAUCAUCUGCUGGAACGUCCGUGGACUUAACUCGCACGCUCGCCGUGACGCUGUUCGCGAUAUCGUUCGCGACUCCCACACCUCCAUCGUCUGUCUCCAAGAGACGAAGCUACAACUAGUUGACGACUCCAUCAUCAGGGAGAUGCUUGGACCUUGCUUCACCGCCAAUUACUUUGUCUUGCUUGCAUCCGGCACUAGAGGAGGAAUGAUC
Molecule: ribosomal RNA, 231 nt
Filed under: Triticum aestivum (bread wheat)
Lineage: Eukaryota; Viridiplantae; Streptophyta; Magnoliopsida; Poales; Poaceae
Description: partial small subunit ribosomal RNA
Source: RNAcentral